GGGGUUGUAGUUAAAUUUUAACACUUAAUUUGCAAUUAAGAGAUACUAAUAAGUCUACCUCA
Molecule: transfer RNA, 62 nt
Filed under: Cletus punctiger
Lineage: Eukaryota; Metazoa; Arthropoda; Insecta; Hemiptera; Coreidae
Also listed under: 2 other names
Description: tRNA-Ala
Source: RNAcentral